GAUUCUGGCUCAGAACGAACGCUGGCGGCAUGGAUUAGGCAUGCAAGUCGAACGGGAGCAGCAAUGCUCCAGUGGCGCAAGGGUGAGGAACACGUGAACAACCUGCCUUCGAGUUGGGGAUAGCUUCUGGAAACGGGAGAUAAUACCGAAUAACAUCAUUGGAUCGCAUGAUUUGAUGAUCAAAGCAGCAAUGCGCUUGAAGAGGGGUUCGCGUCCCAUUAGCUAGUUGGUGAGGUAACGGCCCACCAAGGCGAUGAUGGGUAGCUGGUCUGAGAGGACGAUCAGCCACAUUGGGACUGAGAUACUGCCCAGACUCCUACGGGAGGCUGCAGUCGAGUAAUUUUGGGCAAUGGACGAAAGUCUGACCCAAGCAAUGCCGCGUGCGGGAUGAAGGUCUUCGGAUUGUAAACCGCUGUCAAGAGGGACGAAACAUGACGGUACCUCUGGAGGAAGCCACGGCUAACUACGUGCCAGCAGCGGC
Molecule: ribosomal RNA, 481 nt
Filed under: uncultured bacterium
Lineage: Bacteria
Description: bacterial SSU rRNA
Rfam family: Bacterial small subunit ribosomal RNA
Source: RNAcentral